This 410-nucleotide ribosomal RNA is filed under the name uncultured microorganism. RNAcentral's name for it is "bacterial SSU rRNA". It matches the Rfam family "Bacterial small subunit ribosomal RNA", at positions 509 to 917 of the family's 1533-position model. The record is from RNAcentral.
CAGCCGCCGCGGUAAUACGUAGGGGGCGAGCGUUGUCCGGACUUAUUGGGCGUAAAGCGCGCGCAGGCGGUCCCUUAAGUCUGAUGUGAAAGCCCACGGCUCAACCGUGGAGGGUCAUUGGAAACUGGGGGACUUGAGUGCAGAAGAGGAGAGCGGAAUUCCACGUGUAGCGGUGAAAUGCGUAGAGAUGUGGAGGAACACCAGUGGCGAAGGCGGCUCUCUGGUCUGUAACUGACGCUGAGGCGCGAAAGCGUGGGGAGCAAACAGGAUUAGAUACCCUGGUAGUCCACGCCGUAAACGAUGAGUGCUAAGUGUUAGAGGGGUUAAACCCUUUAGUGCUGGAGCUAACGCGUUAAGCACUCCGCCUGGGGAGUACGGCCGCAAGGCUGAAACUUAAAGGAAUUGGCGGG